UAGUGAGUUUGAUCCUGGCUCAGAGCGAACGCUGGCGGCAGGCUUAACACAUGCAAGUCGAACGGGCACUUCGGUGCUAGUGGCAGACGGGUGAGUAACACGUGGGAACGUACCCUUUGCUACGGAAUAACUCAGGGAAACUUGAGCUAAUACCGGAUGAUGACUUCGGUCCAAAGAUUUAUCGCCCAAGGAUGAGCCCGCGUAGGAUUAGCUUGUUGGUGAGGUAAAGGCUCACCAAGGCGACGAUCCUUAGCUGGUCUGAGAGGAUGAUCAGCCACACUGGGACUGAGACACGGCCCAGACUCCUACGGGGAGGCAGCAGUGGGGAAUUUUCCGCAAUGGGGCAAAGCCUGACGGAGCAAGACCGCGUGA
RNAcentral lists this ribosomal RNA (372 nucleotides) under uncultured Alphaproteobacteria bacterium. Its description in RNAcentral is "bacterial SSU rRNA". It matches the Rfam family "Bacterial small subunit ribosomal RNA", at positions 1 to 404 of the family's 1533-position model. Lineage: Bacteria; Pseudomonadati; Pseudomonadota; Alphaproteobacteria. The record is from RNAcentral.